Molecule: ribosomal RNA, 238 nt
Filed under: Klebsiella pneumoniae
Lineage: Bacteria; Pseudomonadati; Pseudomonadota; Gammaproteobacteria; Enterobacterales; Enterobacteriaceae
Description: partial 23S ribosomal RNA
Rfam family: Bacterial large subunit ribosomal RNA
Source: RNAcentral
GGCCGUGCUAAUCUGCGAAAAGCGUCGGUAAGGUGAUAUGAACCGUUAGAGCCGGCGAUGUCCGAAUGGGGAAACCCAGUGCAAGUCGUUGCACUAUCGUUAACUGAAUACAUAGGUUAACGAGGCGAACCGGGGGAACUGAAACAUCUAAGUACCCCGAUGAAAAGAAAUCAACCGAGAUUCCCCCAGUAGCGGCGAGCGAACGGGUAGCAGCCCAGCGUCUGAAUCAGCUUGUGUG